This 7279-nucleotide long non-coding RNA is filed under the name Lactuca sativa (garden lettuce). Its description in RNAcentral is "long non-coding RNA (LSAT_LNC008230)". The record is from RNAcentral. Lineage: Eukaryota; Viridiplantae; Streptophyta; Magnoliopsida; Asterales; Asteraceae.
GCUAAGCCGGAACUUCGAUAAAUCAUAACUUCCUCAUACGAAGUCAGAUUUGGGCGUUCUAUAUAUAUUCGGAAACCUCGUUUCAACUACUACAACAUUAACCAAAUAUAUUAAGUUUAUUUUACACUUAAAUUUUGACGCUUAUUUUUAUUCUUAAUUAAUCAAACCACAUAAUUAAGCAAUUAAGCACAAAACACACAAUACUCAAAUAAUACAAUCUUAUUAUUUCAAAACGGGUUACAGAGGUUAACCUAGACUAUUACAUUGCUACAAAUGGCAAGCCCGAAACACAGGCGUUACAAUUCUCUCCACCUUAGAAUGAUUCCGUCCCCGGAAUCACACAUCAACAAACAAAUGCGGAUAGCGACUCAACAUGUCACUCUCCGUCUCCCAGGUGAGAUUCGGCCCAUUCGUGUGUUUCCAUCGGACAAGCACUAACCCAACCAUUUUGCGUCGCAACUUCUUAGUCUUUCGGUCAACAAUUGCCUCUGGUUCUUCAAUCAACCUUUUGUUCUCAUCAAUUCUCAAUUCAGAAAUUGGAAUUAUAUCGGGAACUUCUCCCGUGAACUUCCUCAAAUAACACACAUGAAAGGUGUUGUGAAUUCCAUUCAGUUCUUCGGGUAAUUCGAGCUUGUAAGCUUGAUUCCCAAUCCUCUGAAGGACUCUAAACGGUCCAAUAAACCUUGGACUCAACUUUCCCCUUUUACCAAAUCUUAUAAGUCCCUUCCACGGCGAGACUUUAAGCAAAACCGAAUCUCCAACCUCAAAAGUCAUCGGUCUUCGCUUCUUGUCAGCAUAGCUCUUUUGACGAUCUUGAGCUGCUAACAUUCUUUCCCUAAUUAUUUUCAACUUUUCAGCAGUUUGAUGAACCAACUCCGGUCCCAUAAACUGCUUUUCCCCAGCCUCAAGCCAACAAGACGGCGUACGACACUUCUGUCCAUACAAAGCUUGAUAAGGUGCCAUCUUAAUGCUCGAGUGAAAACUAUUAUUAUAGGAAAAUUCUACCAACGGUAAAUGUUCAUCCCAAUUACCUAGGAAUUCCAAGGUACAUGCUCUCAGCAUAUCUUCAAGUGUUUGUAUUGUUCUUUCACUCUGACCAUCAGUCUGCGGAUGGUAAGCUGUGCUUAAACAUAACUUGGUACCCAUUUCCUCUUGUAGACUUUUCCAAAACCUUGAGGUGAAACGGCUAUCACGAUCCGAUACAAUCGUUAACGGAACACCGUGAAGCCUCACAAUUUCCUUCACGUAAGAAUUCGCAAGCUUUUCCAUAGACCAUUUCUCCCUGGCCGCUAUGAAAUGCGCACUCUUAGUGAAUCGAUCAACGACCACCCAAAUCAUGUCGUGACCAUUCUUUGUUCUGGGCAGUUUAGUGACAAAAUCCAUAGCAAUGUCUUCCCACUUACCCAUAGGCACAGGCAAAGGUUCUAAACUCCCGUACGGUUUCUGAUGUUGUGUCUUGACUCUCGCACAAGUCACACACUCGGCCACAUACUUUGCAACAUCAAGCUUCAUCGUCGGCCACCAGUAGUAGGGUUUCAGGUCCCUAUACAUUUUAGUGCUACCCGGAUGAAUCGAGUACAUGGUCUUGUGAGCUUCUUCCAUCAGAAGAUCUCUAAUUCCUCCUGACUUAGGUACCCAAAUACGAUCUUGGAAUACCUUCAGUCCAUGACCGUUAGUACCAAACACCAACGUUUUACCCAAACGUUCCUCCUUUCGGUCAUUUUUCUCAGAAGCUUCCUCUUGAGCUUUCUUUAUACUUUCCACAAUGGUCGAGACAACUUCAAUUCUCAACGCUCUUGGCCUCUUCCUUUCAAGAUUGACCUUCCGACUGAGAGCAUCAGCAACAACAUUAGCUUUACCGGGGUGGUAAAGUAUCUCGCAGUCGUAGUCUUUAAGUAAUUCUAGCCAGCGUCGUUGCCUCAUAUUCAAUUCUUUCUGAUUAAAGAGGUAUUGGAGACUCUUAUGAUCAGUGAAAAGUUUGCACUUCGUGCCAUAGAGGUAAUGCCUCCAUAUUUUCAGAGCGAAAACUACCGCUGCCAACUCCAAAUCAUGAGUCGGGUAAUUCUUUUCAUGCUCUUUCAGCUGUCGAGACGCAUAUGCUAUCACCUUUUCUCUUUGGGUCAAAACACAACCCAAUCCAACACCAGACGCAUCGCUAUAAACAGCGAAGUCUUCAACUCCAUCGGGUAGAGAAAGUAUCGGUGCCUCGCAUAGCUUCUUCUUUAACUUCUCGAAUGCUUCUUUAUGCUUCUCACUCCAAGCAUAAGUAGCUCCUUUGUGGGUCAAAGCUGUUAAUGGAGUAGCAAUCGAAGAAAAGCCUUGGAUAAACCUUCGGUAAUAUCCGGCUAAUCCUAAAAAGCUUCGAAUCUCCGUGGGACUUUUCGGUUGUUCCCACUUCGUCACAGCUUCGAUCUUCGCUGGAUCAACCAUUAUCCCUUCUUGGUUGACCACGUGACCCAAGAAUUGGACUUCACGAAUCCAAAAAUCACAUUUGGAGAACUUCGCAUAAAGCUUCUCCUUCUUCAAAACUUCUAACACUUCUCGCAAGUGUCUGCCAUGCUCCUCCUGGCUUUUCGAGUAGAUCAGAAUGUCGUCUAUGAACACUAUCACGGAUUUAUCAAGGAAAGGAUUACAAACCCUAUUCAUCAAAUCCAUGAACGCUGCUGGAGCAUUGGUUAGUCCAAACGACAUAACCAAGAACUCGUAGUGUCCAUAUCUAGUUCUGAAUGCAGUCUUCUCGAUAUCUUGCUCUCUUACUUUCAGCUGAUGAUAUCCUGACCUAAGAUCGAUCUUCGAGAAAUAGCUCGAACCUUGCAAUUGAUCAAACAGGUCAUCAAUCCUCGGCAACGGAUAUCUAUUCUUUAUUGUUGCCUUGUUCAGCUCUCUGUAAUCGAUGCACAUUCUCAUACUUCCAUCUUUCUUCUUUACAAAUAACACCGGAGCUCCCCAGGGCGAUGAACUAGGUCUAAUGAAACCUUUGUCCAAUAACUCCUGAAGUUGCAUCAUUAGCUCCUUCAUCUCCGUCGGUGCUAAUCGAUAAGGUGCUUUUGCUAUUGGCGUGGUUCCUGGUAACAAGUCUAUUCUGAACUCCACUUGUCUAUCAGGUGGUAAUCCAGGAAGAUCCUCGGGAAAUACUUCCGGAUAAUCACACACCACUGGAAUGCUCUGCAUCACCUUCUUUUCUUUCUUAGCAUCAAUCACGAAUGCUAAAUAUGAUGUACAUCCCUUGGUCAAACACUUUCUGGCUUUCAUUAGAGAAAUGAUUCCAGAAUUCACUCUGCGUUUGUCCCCAUACACCAUAAACGAAUCUUUUCCAGGCGGGUUUACUUUAACUAUCUUCUUCUUGCACAAAAUUUCGGCAUCAUUGGCGCUAAGCCAAUCCAUUCCCAAGACGAUGUCGAAACCAUUUAGUUCGAUAGGCAAUAAUUCCUCGAGAAACUUAUUCCCAUUAAGGUCGAUCAAGACGUUUUUCAUACGAUGGCUAACAGGUACAAACUUGCCACUAGCUACUUCGACUAAUAAAGCAUUAUUUAGUCUAUCAACAGGCAAAGCUAGCUUUCUACCAAACUCAUGCGAAAUAAAGGAGUAGUUGGCUCCAGAAUCAAACAAUAUAUGAGCAGGUAAUUCGUUUACGAGAAAGGUACCUGAAGCGACAUCAGCUUCAUCUUUCGCAGCCUCAAGUGUCAUCUGGAAGGCUCUCGCCUUCGGCUUUGGUGGAAUGUUGGGCCUAGCUGCCUCCUUCUUCUUCGGACAGUCUUUCAAAAUAUGCCCCUCUUCAUUACAACCAAAACACAUCCUUUUGUUGUUCGGACAUUCAUUGGCAAAAUGUCCAACCUUUCCACACUUGUAGCAGGUCACAUCCUCGCUACAUUUCCCAAAGUGCUUUUUCUUACACUUAUCACACCACUUUGCUUCGCCUCCUUUUCCUCCAAACUUUUUCGAAUCAGAUUUCGAAAAUUUGCUCUUCUUACUGGAACCAGAUGUUCCUUCAAACUUCCUUUUCUCACCAACCUCAACCUUGACGGUGGUUCUCCCCUUGAUCAUGUUCUCCACAGACUUGGCAGCCCAGAUAGCUGCCUCUAGAGUAAGUGCCUGACGUACUGGCACCUCGUACUCCCAUGGAAGUCCCUUUGCAUACCGGUCCACCUUCGUCAGCUCGUUGGGAACGAUACGCAAGGCAAACUCCAUCUUAUCGGUGAAGUUAUUGGUGUACUCAUCCACUGACAUGCUACCCUUUGUCAAUGUCAAAAACUUAUUCUCCAACUCCAACAGAUUUAGAGCCGAGCAGAAAUUGCGCUUGAACUGCACCAAGAACUUUGCCCAUGACAAUUUCAGUGGCUCAUUAGGGCUCAAAGUCUUCCCUAGAGUGUUCCACCAACGAACGGCUCCACCUCGGAAUUGACGCACGGCAUAGAUAGUUUGCAACUUACCUCUGCAGCCACACGUCAUGAAGGCUAGCUCCAUUUCGGAGAUCCAAUCCAUAACCCCAAUCGGAUCCUCCUUUCCAUUGAAGGUCGAUGGUUUGCAAGUCAAAAAGUCCUUGUACUUGCAUCCCAUUCCAUCAUUCCUUCCAUCAUGGUUAUCUUGCCUAACUAUUGGUGGGUUGGCUGGACCAACAGACCCACUGAAGUUUCCACCUUCCGAGUGCCCUUCAUUCAGUUCAGGCUCUUCCACACGAAUCGACAAUUCUUCACGAUUCUGUUGAAGUAACCCUCUAGUUUCAUCCAUCUGAUGAUCCAACAUCAUCUGAAUCAUCAAUUGCACACUAGCCAUGGUUAUUGGCUCAGGCGUUGCUGCUACGACAGGUAUUGGCUCAAUCACUGGUGGUUGAUUCCUGUUUUCGUCAGCAUUUCCAACUCCACUUCUUGUUCUCACCAUUUUGAUCUACACACCGAAUAAGGUGAAAUUAGAUCCUCAAUCAUGAUAGAUAUUCAAAUCAUCCUUAUCACUCCGAAACGUUUACAUGCUAGUUCUAAUAUCGUAGACGUACGCUUAGAAUCCUACACACAUAAGGUUUCUAGAUCCGGUCGGCAACAGACCAUAGAUCCGAACAAAUAAUAUCAUAUAUGGCAACAUAUAACAUUUAGCACAUAAAGCAUUUUAGGCAACUUUCCUAAAAUAAACUAGUGCUCGUGUCUAAAUCACAACAGACACACAUCUCAAAACUUCACUUAGCAUUCUAAGUUUAAGUCUAGAAAUCCUACAAAUUCCUAGUUCGCUUAAACUAAUGCUCUGAUACCAACUGUGACAUCCCCAAAAUCUCGGCCAGAAAAGACCGAUUUUCAUUUAUGCUUUUAAAUAUUUUCAGAGUAAAUCCUUUUGAUUUGAAAGAGUUGCGGAAUUUGUUCCCAAAAACAAAACAUGAUAAAACAUUGUUUACCGAAGCAUUUCAUAAAAGAAAUGUAUUUUCAUUAUAAUCAAAACUCGGGGUGUCAUGUUCCGAUACAGACCAAUAAGCAUAAACGAAUACAUUACAAGUCAUAUAACAAAUAUAAACAUAUGCAGACUUGUAAACAAAACAACUUGAUGGUUCAUCCAUCUCAUGCCCUUCCGCCACUACCUGUAAUACAAUUUAAAACUGAGUGGGUCAGGCUUGGGAGCCUGGUGAGCAUAUAGGGUUUUCAACCCACAAUAAAUAUCAUAUUUAAUUUUCACCAACCAACAAUAACCCAAUUACCCAUUCCCGUUAUUCUCACUUUAAUGUCCCUAAAACAACUAACAUAAGGGACCUAGUCUAAGAAUAUUUCAUCGGGGCGACAACACAUGCUUCGGGGGUACCUCAGCAAUAUAAGUCAAAUAAGGCAACCAUGAGGGGGAUGGAGUACAGCGAAUGAACACCCAAGUUCAUUAACACCUACAGGUGGCGAACCUGCUAAUGUUUCCACAAGACUGUCUAGAAUAGCCAGUGGUCGUCAUCUAAACUCCGCUAGAUGACUCAAUCAAACAACAACGAGGCCUCUCAUCUGUUUAUUACACACCAACUGUCUACCCAUGUUCUACCCAACAUAUUAGUAGAUAAAAAUAUACAUUUGUAUACAUAGUUUAAAGAAAACCUGUAUAGCAUGCUUUAAUCAACACAUAUAUCACAUAACAGAUGAGGCACACACACACAUAACACAUAUCUCAUAAAGAAAUAAGCAGAUCUAUAAGAUAGAAGAGAGUGAAUACUCAUUCACACAUAACACAACCAAAUAUAUACACAUAGCACGUAUUUUUAUAUAAAAUACUUCGUAUUAUUGUAUUAGAAGAAAUAACUACACACUCACUUGAUCAGAAGACGAUCCGACAGCACUACGGCUUAUAGAAGUAGUAAUCCACAGCAGAUCUGGAAGAUCUCCUCGAAAAUCGAACUUCUCGCGGGCAGAGCUUCGACUCGGAAACCGCACUUCUCGGGAUCUUCGGGAUCUCGGGACUUGCCUCGGGGCUAGAGUAUGAUACCGGGACUUCGGGAUAGCUUCGGGGGUUUUUGCGCAGAGCUUCGACACGAAAAUGAGAGGAAAUUGGCAAAAGAACCCGGAACCCUCGCAUCCUAUUUAUAGGAGGCUGGAAGCCUCAAUUACGCGGGGCGUACAGCAGUACGCGGCGCGUACUGCUCCAAGUUCGUAAGCGCAUGCGUCAUCCGAAGCCACUUGCUGCGAUGUCGACACCUUCGGAGUACGCGGGGCGUACUCGAGUACGCGGCGCGUACCUCGGAUCAGAUCAAUGACUCGCUUCGGAUAAUGCUUCCGAUUUUUGAUUUAAAUUUAAAUACAAAAUGAUUAAUAAACUUCAGAAAUUCAUAACUUCUUCAUAAGAACAUCGUUUUCGACGAUCUUUAUAUCCACGGAAAGGUGAGACCAUGCUCUACAACUUUCGUUUAGACUCCGUUGGCUAAUUUUGAAUUUAUUUUUUAUUAAUUAUUAUUAAUAGGCCGGGACAGUAACUUUCGUUAUAAAUUCAUAACUUCUUCGUUUGACGUCCGUUCUCGCCUAACUUUUUAUCGCUUCGAUACCAACAAUGAGAUCUUCGAUUCUCAUUUAGAUUGCUUCGGCUAAAAACCCCUCGAUCUCAAAUCGAGUAAAACAGGCUGCAUACUGCUAAGCCGAAACUUCGAUAAAUCAUAACUUCCUCAUACGAAGUCAGAUUUGGGUGUUCUUUAUAUAUUCGGAAACCUUGUUUCAACUACUACAACAUAAAUCAAAGUUAUUAAGUUUAUUUUAUACUUAAAUUUUGACGCUUAUUUUUAUUCUUAAUUAAUCAAACCACAUAAUUAAGCAAUUAAGCACAAAACACAUAAUAC